This 497-nucleotide ribosomal RNA is filed under the name uncultured bacterium. Its description in RNAcentral is "partial 16S ribosomal RNA". It matches the Rfam family "Bacterial small subunit ribosomal RNA", at positions 28 to 507 of the family's 1533-position model. The record is from RNAcentral.
GAUGAACGCUGGCGGCGUGCCUAAUACAUGCAAGUAGAACGCUGAAGGAAGGAGCUUGCUCUUUCCGGAUGAGUUGCGGACGGGUGAGUAACGCGUAGGUAACCUGCCUGUUAGCGGGGGAUAACUAUUGGAAACGAUAGCUAAUACCGCAUAACAGUAUAUGUUGCAUGGUUUCUACUUAAAAGGUGCAAUUGCACUACUACCAGAUGGACCUGCGGUUGAUUAGCUAGUUGGUGAGGUAACGGCUCAACAAGGCGACCGUACAUAGCCGAACUGAGAGGGGUGUCGGGCAAAAUGGGAAGGGGAAACGGCCCAGAACCCUUAGGGAGGGAGCAGUAGGGGAACUUCGGGAAAGGACGGAAGGCUGGACGGGGAACGCCGCGGGAGGGAAGAAGGGUUUCGGAUCGGAAAGCUCCGUUGAAAGGGAAGAAAGAGAGGGAGAGUGGAAAGUUCACACUGUGACGGUAGCUUACCAGAAAGGGACGGCUAACUACGUG